This 449-nucleotide long non-coding RNA is filed under the name Mus musculus (house mouse). RNAcentral describes it as "predicted gene, 49175". Lineage: Eukaryota; Metazoa; Chordata; Mammalia; Rodentia; Muridae. The record is from RNAcentral.
AUGACUCCUGAAACUAAUUGGUAUAUUACAAGGAAAGAGGAUGAAUACUGGGAAGAACUCCAGCACUGAGCUGGGUAAACACUGCAUCCAGAGUGAAUAUUGUAACAGCUACAUGAGCAGAACAACCCUACACAACACCGUGGUCCGAUGGACUUCUCUGGCUGAACCACGGAGGUCUCCAGAGACCAUAAGUACCAUUUAGAUCAUACUAUCAGCAAAUGAGAAGAAAGGAGAAAGAGCUCUGCAGUGUUUUGCGUCCUCAGUUCAGUGCUGUCAUCUGGAAAUGACCAUGCUCAUGCUCACUGGUAGCAUGCCCUGUCUCCACAACAGGGAGCCAAGAAAUUCAGCUUUUUAAUUAUCCAGAAGAAAUGGACAACUGGAUAUUAGCUCUAGUCUAUACUGAAUGAAGUCAUGUACCAUGUACUGAUGAAGUGAAUAUAUGGCUUCCU